This 254-nucleotide ribosomal RNA is filed under the name uncultured bacterium. RNAcentral's name for it is "partial 16S ribosomal RNA". It matches the Rfam family "Bacterial small subunit ribosomal RNA", at positions 524 to 776 of the family's 1533-position model. The record is from RNAcentral.
UACAGAGGUCCCAAGCGUUAGUUCGGAUUUACUGGGCGUAAAGGGCGCGUAGGCGGCGUGACAAGUCACUUGUGAAAUCUCCGGGCUUAACUCGGAACGGCCAAGUGAUACUGUCGUGCUAGAGUGCAGAAGGGGCAAUCGGAAUUCUUGGUGUAGCGGUGAAAUGCGUAGAUAUCAAGAGGAACACCUGAGGUGAAGACGGGUUGCUGGGCUGACACUGACGCUGAGGCGCGAAAGCUAGGGGAGCAAACGGG